Molecule: non-coding RNA, 20 nt
Filed under: Mus musculus (house mouse)
Lineage: Eukaryota; Metazoa; Chordata; Mammalia; Rodentia; Muridae
Source: RNAcentral
UAGUACAAAGGUCCAAAAUC